AGCACUAUUUUUAAACCUGUUGGUGGAGUUCUCUGACCACCGUGGGUUACGCUGUAGUGCAAAAGAAUCUCCUGGCUCUUAAAGAGCUUCGCUGACCUUGCUCUGUUCAGCUGAUGCUCCUCUGAAGCUAAGGAACAGAA
Molecule: small nucleolar RNA, 140 nt
Filed under: Merops nubicus (carmine bee-eater)
Lineage: Eukaryota; Metazoa; Chordata; Aves; Coraciiformes; Meropidae
Description: Small nucleolar RNA SNORA46
Rfam family: Small nucleolar RNA SNORA46
About the family: ACA46 is a member of the H/ACA class of snoRNA that guide the sites of modification of uridines to pseudouridines.
Source: Rfam by way of RNAcentral